GCGAAGGCAGCCUUUAGAAGACCACGUCAGAACCGCUCACCCACCACGCGGAAACCGCACCAAAUCCCACCUAACUCCAAAACCCCCCGAAUCAACCCAAUUCCACCCCGGCGAAAAAGAAGAAGAAAGGGAGCAAAAAAAAAAAAAAAAAAAAGCCAAGAAGUCGAAGAAGCAAGCGCAAUUCCAAGAUCUCUCUGAAAGGCGGUGGAGGAGGCCACGCACCGCCGGCACCGAGCUUCCGUCUCC
Molecule: long non-coding RNA, 246 nt
Filed under: Elaeis guineensis (African oil palm)
Lineage: Eukaryota; Viridiplantae; Streptophyta; Magnoliopsida; Arecales; Arecaceae
Description: long non-coding RNA (EGUI_LNC072558)
Source: RNAcentral